Molecule: ribosomal RNA, 272 nt
Filed under: uncultured soil bacterium
Lineage: Bacteria
Description: partial 16S ribosomal RNA
Rfam family: Bacterial small subunit ribosomal RNA
Source: RNAcentral
AGAAUCAACGCUGGCGGCGUGCCUAAUACAUGCAAGUCGAACGCCAAAGCCCCGCAAGGGGCAAGUAGCGUGGCAAACGGGUGAGUAACGCGUGGGCGACCUGCCUUCGAGUGGGGGACAACCUUCCGAAAGGAGGGCUAAUACCGCAUGAUAUGCCGUGUUUGGAUACACGGACAUCAAAGCUGGGGAUCGCAAGACCUGGCGCUUGAAGAGGGGCCUACGUCCGAUUAGCUAGUUGGUGGGGUAACGGCCUACCAAGGCGACGAUCGGUA